RNAcentral lists this ribosomal RNA (253 nucleotides) under uncultured bacterium. Its description in RNAcentral is "partial 16S ribosomal RNA". It matches the Rfam family "Bacterial small subunit ribosomal RNA", at positions 524 to 776 of the family's 1533-position model. The record is from RNAcentral.
AACGUAGGGGACAAGCGUUAUCCGGAUUUACUGGGCGUAAAGCGCCCGUAGGCGGCUUUUUAAGUUGGACGUGAAAGCUCCCGGCUUAACUGGGAGAGGCCGUUCAAAACUGAGAGGCUAGAGUGAGGCAGAGGAGCGCGGAAUUCCCGGUGUAGUGGUGGAAUGCGUAGAUAUCGGGAGGAACACCAGUGGCGAAAGCGGCGCUCUGGGCCUAAACUGACGCUGAGGGGCGAAAGCGUGGGUAGCGAACGGG